RNAcentral lists this ribosomal RNA (490 nucleotides) under uncultured bacterium. RNAcentral describes it as "partial 16S ribosomal RNA". It matches the Rfam family "Bacterial small subunit ribosomal RNA", at positions 30 to 507 of the family's 1533-position model. The record is from RNAcentral.
AUUGAACGCUGGCGGCAGGCCUAACACAUGCAAGUCGAACGGUAACAGGAAGAAGCUUGCUUCUUUGCUGACGAGUGGCGGACGGGUGAGUAAUGUCUGGGAAACUGCCUGAUGGAGGGGGAUAACUACUGGAAACGGUAGCUAAUACCGCAUAAUGUCGCAAGACCAAAGAGGGGGACCUUCGGGCCUCUUGCCAUCGGAUGUGCCCAGAUGGGAUUAGCUAGUAGGUGGGGUAACGGCUGACCUAGGCGACGAUCCCUAGCUGGUCUGAGAGGAUGACCAGCCACACUGGAACUGAGACACGGUCCAGACUCCUACGGGAGGCAGCAGUGGGGAAUAUUGCACAAUGGGCGCAAGCCUGAUGCAGCUAUGCCGCGUGUAUGAAGAAGGCCUUCGGGUUGUAAAGUACUUUCAGCGGGGAGGAAGGGAGUAAAGUUAAUACCUUUGCUCAUUGACGUUACCCGCAGAAGAAGCACCGGCUAACUCCGUG